UUUUGAGAUAAUCAUCAACUGAGCAGGGUGUUAUUUCUUUCGCUAUGGAACCUUUUUCAUUGAGUAGUAAAUCACUGCACGAUCUGUAGAGUUACAAUCAAUCAACAAGCUUUCACCCAUCACCUAGCAAUGGGGACUUCCCUCGGUAUCUUCCUAGCUCUUGUCAAGACAGUGUUAUUAUAAAUGUUUUGUCACCUCUUCCAGCACCAUGCUCACCGUGUCUCCGGGCAGUGAUGAAGUGACAGCAUUGUUGCAGACGUGUGUAUUGUAGAGCAGACGCCACUCUGGUGGAGCAGACGACAGUCAAUACUUUCCCUCUCACCGAUCUCAGGGCAGACGGACAGUUGGGGGAUUAUGUCAGUGAGACUUUCCCCAGACGUCCAGGUGGACUUGACUUGAGAAACUUAACAAUGAUGGAUUGGCAGAAAGAUGCUUGUGAUCGGCUACCAUGGAGUGGGAGCGGCUCAGUCUGUGUACAAUGUCAGGAGUGAGCUGUGUGUGGGGUGCUGUGUGUCGAGGAUUCAUGGAAUAAUGUUUUGAAGAUGUAUCAGAGUUGGAAGAAUGUGCUGCUCCUUCCUGGAGGACAAGUAGAUCUGAAGGACAAAUUUCUAAUUUCUAUGAUUGAGGAUUGAAGUGAUCCUGCAAGAUGUGUUUUCGUUGUUUCUUGCUUGCAUGAAGCACUGUCAACACUAUGUGUUUCUUGGAGGAGGAAGUCUGAAGAAGAAAUUCUAGUGCUCUGUUCUGAUGAAGUUUCAUAUUUGGAACAAAACAUUUUCCAUAUGUGAAUGCCUUGGAUUCCAAGUGGAAGGGGGUUCUUGUGAUUCAUGACUGUUGAUUGUUGGGUUUGCUCAUGAACUAUUGUGUUUGUGACUGACACGACUUUAUCUCAAACAUGAGGAAAUGUGGAGCUGUGUUCGGAUAUUUCAAUAUCAAACAUCUUAAAAGAAUCUGAAGGGAAUGUGAUACAUCUCUUUAUCAUUUGCCUUGGUCUCUAGUGUAGACCUGAACACAGUGUAAAUAUUCUGGCUUCCUCUUGGGGGAAUGGAAGAAGAAAACUUGAAGCGGCUUCAGUGUGUAUUCUUUGCUGACUGAAGGUUCUGGAAUAAACUUUGAAUGCACAGUAUGCAUGGUGCCUGAAGCUGGAGCUGUUUGAGCAAGUUCUGGGGUGUCCACUAUGAGAAUUAUUCCAACAAAUAUGGGUGAUAAAGAUAAAGAUGGACGCUGUGAGAGAAAUGAAAAUAUUAAUUUGUGCCGGUAGUGGAAUGUUCUUGACAUUUUUUUCUUGUGGAUAUCAGAUGUUAGACUUUACUUCCAGACCCAGUUUCUAACAUCUGAGUGUUCGAUGGAGGUUCUGAAAUGUCGAUUUGAUUAAUUGUGAUUCUGGCGUAAGAUUGUCUACGCCUUCUGUUGAGAUGGAUUUUCGCUGCUUUUUCUGAAACUGUUUUCCAAGCUUUGUGAGUAUAGGAUUGUGAACACUUGGUCUUGAAUCCAUGACACUCAACUUGAUAAACCUCUACAUGACGAUGGAGAGAUACACUCGAACUUCAAGCAGCCGCUGUGCUUCGGGACGGUCCAUCCUUCUCGACAUUGAUGACGCUCUCGAACGUUUGUCAAACCACUCAAGCCCCAUCAACAGAAUGCAUGUGACUGUGAAACGUAGCAGCACUGCCAUACCCGAGAUGGCUCCAAACUCUGUGUACAGUCAGUUGGGAGUUAUCUCCCCCUUCCCAGUCAGGGGGCUUCCUCUACCAGUGCUACAGGGGAAGUUCGUAAGCAGUAAGAGUAAAACGCUGAGUGCUAUGAACCAUGUGACCCCGGGUCGGCUCCAGCGGAGUAAGACGAUUCUCUCCACCCCGUGUCGGCACUGUGUCGCCUGCACAGUCAAACAUUUACGCAAUUUUAACAAGCUCCAGUCCGGUGUGGGGAUCCGUAUUGAGGAUGGGAUGGUAUAUGGGAUGAAGAGGUCCAAGUCUGAUCUUCACCUCUACGAUGACUCCAUGCGACCUGGCACUAUGUCGCUGUUGACAGGGGAGAGAGCCCCAGUGUUCAUGAUGGGAGCUCAGGAACCCAGAGAAGAUGUAGUUGGGGGCAACAAAGAGGAGGUUUUGUUACCAAUGGCAACACUCACAAAGAAAGGUCUCAUCAAGUUAACCUCCCUGGACCAGGAGCUGCCAGAUCAAGAAUUUAUGUCUAUGAAGAAACAUGGUGUGUACAUCAACACAGAAAACUGCACCGAAGAAGACUGCACAGAAGGGACUGAUCAAGCGCAAGGACAUGCGAGAUCAAAUACGGGCAGGGGCACAGAUGUUGGAGGAGGAGAGGAGGAAGACCCAGGACGAGGAGGAGGAUGACGGGGAGGUGCGUUUGGAGGACUACACCAUUGGGGACCUGCAGACAGCUCUUGACAUGGUGCAGGAGAAUCCUGACUCCCCUGUGCUGCUGGAUGUGGAGGAGGAGAGAAGUGAGGGCGGCGGCCAGGGCCGGUCCCCCAAACCUCCCAAGCAGCCUCUCGUCACGGAGAGCAUCAAGCAGCAGACAUUCCAACUCCCCA
This 2551-nucleotide unclassified non-coding RNA is filed under the name Haliotis rufescens (red abalone). RNAcentral's name for it is "uncharacterized LOC124139532, transcript variant X4". Lineage: Eukaryota; Metazoa; Mollusca; Gastropoda; Lepetellida; Haliotidae. The record is from RNAcentral.